AGCAGCCGCGGUAAUUCCAGCUCCAAUAGCGUAUAUUAAAGUUGUCGCAGUUAAAAAGCUCGUAGUUGAAUUUCGGGGUCAGCAGGUUGGUCGUGCCUCUGGUACGCACUGGUUUCGCUGAUUCCUCCUUUCUGAAGAACUGUAAUGUCAUUAAUUUGGUGUUGCAGGGAAACAGGACUGUUACUUUGAAAAAAUUAGAGUGUUUAAAGCAAGCUAACGCUUGAAUACAUUAGCAUGGAAUAAUGAAAUAGGACGUUUGAUCCUAUUUUGUUGGUUUCUAGGAUUGACGUAAUGAUUAAUAGGGAUAGUUGGGGGCAUUAGUAUUCAAUUGUCAGAGGUGAAAUUCUUGGAUUUAUUGAAGACUAACUACUGCGAAAGCAUUUGCCAAGGAUGUUUUCAUUAAUCAAGAACGAAAGUUAGGGGAUCGAAGACGAUCAGAUACCGUCGUAGUCUUAACCAUAAACUAUGCCGACUAGGGAUCGGAUGAAGUUAAUUUUUUAAUGACUCA
RNAcentral lists this ribosomal RNA (508 nucleotides) under uncultured Glomeromycotina. RNAcentral's name for it is "SSU rRNA". It matches the Rfam family "Eukaryotic small subunit ribosomal RNA", at positions 569 to 1078 of the family's 1831-position model. The record is from RNAcentral. Lineage: Eukaryota; Fungi; Glomeromycota.